Molecule: ribosomal RNA, 1008 nt
Filed under: Pseudomonas sp. YSA5_2C2
Lineage: Bacteria; Pseudomonadati; Pseudomonadota; Gammaproteobacteria; Pseudomonadales; Pseudomonadaceae
Description: bacterial SSU rRNA
Rfam family: Bacterial small subunit ribosomal RNA
Source: RNAcentral
UGAGUCGAGCGGAGAGAAGAGCUUGCUCUUCGAUUCAGCGGCGGACGGGUGAGUAAUGCCUAGGAAUCUGCCUGGUAGUGGGGGACAACGUUUCGAAAGGAACGCUAAUACCGCAUACGUCCUACGGGAGAAAGCAGGGGACCUUCGGGCCUUGCGCUAUCAGAUGAGCCUAGGUCGGAUUAGCUAGUUGGUGAGGUAAUGGCUCACCAAGGCGACGAUCCGUAACUGGUCUGAGAGGAUGAUCAGUCACACUGGAACUGAGACACGGUCCAGACUCCUACGGGAGGCAGCAGUGGGGAAUAUUGGACAAUGGGCGAAAGCCUGAUCCAGCCAUGCCGCGUGUGUGAAGAAGGUCUUCGGAUUGUAAAGCACUUUAAGUUGGGAGGAAGGGCAGUAAGAUAAUACCUUGCUGUUUUGACGUUACCGACAGAAUAAGCACCGGCUAACUCUGUGCCAGCAGCCGCGGUAAUACAGAGGGUGCAAGCGUUAAUCGGAAUUACUGGGCGUAAAGCGCGCGUAGGUGGUUUGUUAAGUUGGAUGUGAAAGCCCCGGGCUCAACCUGGGAACUGCAUCCAAAACUGGCAAGCUAGAGUACGGUAGAGGGUGGUGGAAUUUCCUGUGUAGCGGUGAAAUGCGUAGAUAUAGGAAGGAACACCAGUGGCGAAGGCGACCACCUGGACUGAUACUGACACUGAGGUGCGAAAGCGUGGGAGCAAACAGGAUUAGAUACCCUGGUAGUCCACGCCGUAAACGAUGUCAACUAGCCGUUGGAAUCCUUGAGAUUUUAGUGGCGCAGCUACGCAUUAAGUUGACGCCUGGGGAGUACGGCCGCAAGGUUAAAACUCAAAUGAAUUGACGGGGGCCCGCACAAGCGGUGGACAUGUGGUUUAUCGAAGCACGCGAAAAUUACCGCUGACUGCAGAAACUUUUAAUAAUUGGGCCUUCGGACUCUGACCCUCAUGGUGUCGUCGCUGGAAGGUUAUCCGCAGCGCCCUGGGUGGAUGGGUA